Molecule: ribosomal RNA, 475 nt
Filed under: uncultured bacterium
Lineage: Bacteria
Description: bacterial SSU rRNA
Rfam family: Bacterial small subunit ribosomal RNA
Source: RNAcentral
AGCAGAGCACUCCUACGGGAGGCAGCAGUGGGGAAUAUUGCGCGGGAAUGGGCGAAAGCCUGACGCAGCGACGCCGUGUGAGUGAUGAAGGCCCUCGGGUCGUAAAGCUCUGUCAGGGGGGACGAAACCUCCACGAGUUAAUAUCUCGUGGACUUGACGGUACCUCCAAAGGAAGCACCGGCUAACUCCGUGCCAGCAGCCGCGGUAAUACGGAGGGUGCGAGCGUUGUUCGGAAUUACUGGGCGUAAAGCGCGUGUAGGCGGCUUUUAAGUCUGGUGUGAAAUCCCGGGGCUCACCCCGGAAGUGCAUUGGAUACUGGAAAGCUAGAGUACCGGAGAGGAGGGUGGAAUUCCUGGUGUAGCGGAUGAAGCUGAGAUAUCAGGAGGAACACCGGUGGCGAAGGCGGCCCUCUGGACGGAUACUGACGCUGAGACGCGAAAGCGUGGGGAGCAAACAGGAUUAGAUACCCUGGUAG